Hordeum vulgare subsp. vulgare (domesticated barley) is the source of this 136-nucleotide non-coding RNA. The record is from Rfam. NCBI's taxonomy places the organism in Eukaryota, Viridiplantae, Streptophyta, Magnoliopsida, Poales, Poaceae.
UGUAUACUCCCUCCGUCCCAAAAUUCUUGUUGUAGAUUUGUCUAGAAAUGAAUGUAUCUAAAUACUAAAACGUGACUAUAUACAUUCAUAUCUAGACAAACCUAAGACAAGAAUUUUAAAAUGGAGGGAGUAUAUC